RNAcentral lists this ribosomal RNA (253 nucleotides) under uncultured bacterium. Its description in RNAcentral is "partial 16S ribosomal RNA". It matches the Rfam family "Bacterial small subunit ribosomal RNA", at positions 524 to 776 of the family's 1533-position model. The record is from RNAcentral.
UACGUAGGUGACCAGCGUUGUCCGGAUUUACUGGGCGUAAAGAGCGCGCAGGCGGUCGUUCAAGUCGAGUGUGAAAGCCCCCGGCUCAACUGGGGAGGGUCACUCGAUACUGAUCGACUUGAAGGCAGGAGAGGGAAGCGGAAUUCCCGGUGUAGUGGUGAAAUGCGUAGAUAUCGGGAGGAACACCAGUGGCGAAGGCGGCUUCCUGGCCUGUUCUUGACGCUGAGGCGCGAAAGCUAGGGGAACAAACGGG